CAGGAGCUGUAGAAGGAAGCUGUUGGAGAGACUGAGGAGUAUAAACCAUAUCAGGCACAAGGAAAGAGGCCCUGAGAUCUGGAGCCUGGGUUCCACAACAGCUCCUGUGGACUUUAAAUAACAUUUUUCCAGGCUCCAGCUCCAGACUGAGGCUCUAGGAGGCCGUGCCAAAAGGACCACAGCUAAGAUGGCUGCCACCGCCCUCUGACCCCAUUUCGCAGCCUGCUUGGAGUCAGAGGUGGAGGCAGAGAAAUCAGAAACCCUUGCUGAGGUCAACAGGCUGAUCUGGAUGAGCAGUUCACUGGAACAUGGACAAGGCAGGGCUGAAUGGCCACAGCCAAGAGAGAGUCUGAUUCAUACCCAGAUAAUUUAGUAUAGUUUCACUUUGAGUUUGGAAGCCGGGCAAAAGAGUACAGUUCAGGGAGUUCUUGCACUGGUCUGAGACUCUAGCUUCAUGGAUCUGGGCACCCACUACUGCAGCGACCAGCAUCCAGACAGCGAGAGAUUCAACUCGACACAGGCUACUGAGUGCCAGCCAAGACCCCACCAGCAUUCUAGACCAGAAGAACGAGCAAACCUGCUUGCAGUCAGAAGAGGGCUCUGUCUCAUCCAAAAGUGAAGAAGUAUGGUGAUAUUUUUGUUUAAGGUAGCUAAUCCCACAGCAUUGCAAUGCUCCAUCUCAGGACAUGCCACUUUGGCUGAGCCAUCUGCUUUGGGAAUGUGCAAU
Long non-coding RNA from Mauremys mutica (yellowpond turtle), 727 nucleotides. RefSeq lists it as uncharacterized. NCBI's taxonomy places the organism in Eukaryota, Metazoa, Chordata, Testudines, Geoemydidae. The record is from RefSeq and is a predicted model, not a curated record. The transcript has 3 exons.